This is a long non-coding RNA of Xenopus tropicalis (tropical clawed frog), 3399 nucleotides long. RefSeq lists it as uncharacterized. The record is from RefSeq and is a predicted model, not a curated record. The transcript has 2 exons. Lineage: Eukaryota; Metazoa; Chordata; Amphibia; Anura; Pipidae.
UGUAUUUUAAUAUAUAUAUAUAGAUUCUUAAUGCAUCAGAAGCACAUCAGAAUUGUAAAGUAUUGUGAGUACAGGGUUGAUCUCCAACCUGUGCGAUUGUGCUGGGGGUGCACAUGGGGCUCACUGUAGUGACGGAACUCACCAAAUCUGUAAAGGUAGCACCCAGAAGGCUGGAGUUAUUGUUUUGAUAUAUGUUUUGUGUGCUGAGAUGGGCACUCAUGUGUUUCAAUAAACUGCCUAAAAAGAAAACAAAAUGUCCCUCACGCUUGCCCUACAUAUAGCAGAAUGUUUAGCGGCUGAUUUAUUACAGUGAAUAAUGAAUUUUCAGUGAUUUGAUUAAAUGCCAGCAAUAACAGGAGAUAUCCAAUAUAUACAAGUUUAAGUUUUUCAAAUUUUAUCAAUGUUUUAUCAAAUGGACAGCUUUGGCAACUAAAGGCUGCUAAGUUUCUCUAGGAGUCAACAGUGAAGCCUUGAAGCAUUCAAGCAAAUUGUUAUUUUGUUAUUAUUAUUUUAUAGAGAUUCUACUGGGUUUUAUCAAAAUAACAGAACAAUGCCAUUUUCAUUUGCAACAUCUUUUCUUCAAGAUACAUUGCAGUCGUGAUUAAUCGAUGCCAGUGAUCGAGGAAAAACAAACCAUGCUUGAGUUGAAUUGAAAAUAUUUUUCCACAGCUGAGGUUUUUUUUUAAUGUGAUCGUGAAUGUUUGUUAAUAUGCCUCCCCAAGUGUGUGGACCUAGUAUAGCAGAAUUCAAGCUGUUAAACUGCCCCCAAACAGGAUAAAUGAGAAAACAUCUGACUAGUAUCUCUACGAGAUUAUGAGAUGACCAGAUAUUUUACACUUCCAGUCAAGCAGCUUAUUGCCUGUGUUGAUAAUUUUAAUUUACCAGAACCUUAUUAUAGAACAAGACCCCGAGACAAGGUUCUCCGCAUAACUGAUGAUUUAUUCAUUAAUCAAAGGCAGAGUCUUGUGGAAGCUCUCACCAACACAGAACAAUAACUGAAACAGCUUCAAGUGAGACCCUGAAAGUCUUAGCCUUUUAUAGAUUAUAGUAUGCCUUAUCUCAAAAGUAUAUAACACCCCCUUUUAUAACUUUCUGUGUACUCUGUGGUUGUAGCUGUGCAAACAAAGCAAAGUCCAUGUCUUAGCUAGUCAGCACUAUCAUUUCAGGCCCUUGUGAUUUUAUAAGAUGCAUAUUUGUAUACUUUAAUCUCAAUUCACCUGCCUUGGGUUGUUUUUAUAGGGGACACUGGGGGAUUUUAUGUGUCCCUUUAUACAGAAUUUACCCAUCAUAAGUGAGCGUCUCAAGACCUGAUUUGUUGGAUCACUCGGAGGUAGCGUUGCCACCUGUCUGUUUUUGGACAAGGCAGCUUCAUUUUUAAAGAGAAAUCCACCCAAUUGCAUCUGAGGGACACAAUAAACCACCCCCCAAAGUAAUAACUUGACUCCAACACAUCAUCGCACCCAUCACCAAUAUUUCUGACACCCCCACAGAAACAUUGGCCCGCCCCCCUGCAACUAGGAAAGGUGGUAACCCUUCUUAGAGAAAAUGCAUCGAAGUGUAGCUGCUGUAAUUCUAGGACAGCCAAUUACCCAGCACCAAAUCUACUGUCCCACUUUUAUGUUUAUGAUUGAUUUUUUUAUGGGCCCACACUUCAUAAAUUAAUCUGGAAUUCCAUUCAACAGCAUGACAAAUCUGUAUAAGUGGCCAGCUUUAGAAAUAGAGUUUGUUUUCUAGUUUUUCCCCAAAUGGAUCAAAAAAGUAUGCUUAGCAUCCUGCCACAAAGAAUUUUCCAUCGCUUCAGUCUGGGGCUUCUAAAUAUCAGUAGGACCUGUUUUUUGCACGCCACUCUAGUUGGGCGUUAAAUUCCCACAAGUGCAAAACUGCCAUUUAAUAUGAGAGAUCUAUAAAACUGCCAGCCCUUCCUUCUAAACAAAGGAGUCUGUGUGCCUGUUAUUGCCAAAGGCAUCACUUCUUAACUAUCAUAGGAAAGGAAGCUAAUUUGGUAACUACAACAACAAAAUAGUUUAUAAAUAUGAGCGUAUAUAUUAGUGUAUUAGGAGUGCUUGAAGCAUUCUAUGAGAGUGAGUUGAGCAAUAUGUUGCAUGUCUUUUACCCAUAUAAUCUAUAGUGCUAUGGUAUAUGUAUGAUGCUUUAUGCAGGUGUAAAAUACAAACAGAUUCUAGACACAGUGCAUAAUAAGAUGGCCCUAACAAGUGCACUGAAGAUAUUCGUAACAUUAUACAAUUUUCAGUGGAGUAAUAUUAUGGCUAGUUAAAAAUUGUAACCUCUCUUUAUCCUGGCUGUCUGCAUUUACCAAGGUGACAUGUUUGUAAACUCCAUAACUGGAAUAUUGACGAAGGGUAAGUGGACUUUACUCAGUUGUUAUUAUUUGCUGUAGGAUCUGGAAUCUCACAUUUUUCUGAACAGCCAGUCAAUCCAGAACCAGAAAACAAAGAAAAACAAUUUACAUUUAGUUCUGCAGUGUGAUCCAUGUGUAUAAGUAUAUAACUAAAAAUGCACUUCAGUCAGAUACCUUUGGGUCUAAAAUUCCCCACUGUCUCCCCAAUAAUAUUUCACUAAAAUACAUCUUUAAGGUUGAAGGAAAAUCAGCAAAGAAUUCUUAGAUUUUCUGUUAUAUUCUGAACAUGGGAAAUGUGUUGACAUGCUUGUAUAAUAAAUAAUAGAUUUCUUUAUGACAUGCUGUUACAAGUAUUGAAUCCAUUAUCUGGAAACCCAUUAUCCAGAAAUCUCUGAAUUACAGAAAGGACUUCUCCCCUAGAGGCCAUUUUCAUUUUUCAAGGUACGGUUUUAUAACUGUACGUUGUACUUGAUCCCAGUGAUGAUACAACAAAACCUUAGUGAAGACAAACAGUCCUAUUGAGUUCAAUUAAUGUUUAAUGAUUUUUUAAUGGGCUUAAGAUAUGGUGAUCCAAAUUAUGGAAAGACCCCUUAUCCAGAACACACUAGAGCAUUUUGUAAAGCAGGUCUUAUACCUAUAUAGUAAAAAAUAAUCAUCCUUAUGACCAAAGACUAUAGAGAGAUUGCAUUAUAAUAGAAUAUACUUCUUACUGGUUCUCAGGCUAAGAUGGUACCAGUGGAUGCUCUCUGACAUCUUGCAGUCCAAAUGAGGUCAAUAUAAAUGUGUUUGCCAUGAGAGUGAAAUUUGUGCCCUAUUCUUCUGAUGCAGCUGUGUUGUAGUGAUUGCUGCAGCCUGCAGUGGGAACCCUGGCGCUACCGCCUGGUGUGGAGGUGCACUACAGUGCUCAGUUCCGAAAAAAGAGGCUAGAGGGCGUACCUUAAAUAGAUGGGAUUUUCCACACAACAGACUGCUGGGAAAUUUCGUAUAAAUUGAUGUCUUGAUAACAGCUUGCUGAAUAAAAUUACUUUUUUAUUUAAUAA